UUCCUGGUGUUAAUAGGGAGAGGUGCAUCAAGAUGGCAAUUGUGCAUGAUAUUGCAGAAGCUAUUGUCGGUGAUAUUACACCUUCUGAUGGUGUUCCUAAAGAGGAAAAGAGUAGGCUUGA
Long non-coding RNA from Dioscorea cayenensis subsp. rotundata (Guinea yam), 121 nucleotides. RefSeq lists it as uncharacterized. The record is from RefSeq and is a predicted model, not a curated record. The transcript is spliced from 3 exons. Lineage: Eukaryota; Viridiplantae; Streptophyta; Magnoliopsida; Dioscoreales; Dioscoreaceae.